RNAcentral lists this long non-coding RNA (514 nucleotides) under Carica papaya (papaya). RNAcentral describes it as "long non-coding RNA (CPAP_LNC011491)". The record is from RNAcentral. Lineage: Eukaryota; Viridiplantae; Streptophyta; Magnoliopsida; Brassicales; Caricaceae.
CUAACUGGUGUUUUCUAGAUGUAGGAAAUGGCAAGGGACAUGAGAGAAACUGCAUGUUCAAUAGGAAGGAUCACCUCAAGCAAACUAUUGAGAGGCUAACACAAUUAGUGGCGGGCUUUAUCCCAAAAGUAAACCAAAACAUGGCUCAUAAUCCUAAUGGUGAACCUAGUGGCAAUCAAAACCAUGCCUCUACAGAUGCAUCGCGGCCAGUUAAGCCAGAUAAUGGGAAGCUGAUUAAACAGUUUAGAGGGUUAAAUUGCCUGCCUUCCGAUGACGACUUUCUCCUAUGAUAGUUGAGCAAUGGCUCUUGCAAAUAGAGAAUAGGCUUAAAGUUCUCAAGCAUACAUCCAAGCCGAAGGUGGAAAUAACUAAUUUCAUGUUCAAGGGAGCUGCAGAGCAUUGGUGGCGACUUAAAGAAAGUUCUAUCAUAGCCCCAAUUUUAUGGGAAACCUUUGUAGCAGUCUUCCACGACAAACACUUCCUCGAUUACAUCAGGGAAGAAAAGUUGAUGGAG